Mustela erminea (ermine) is the source of this 1113-nucleotide long non-coding RNA. RefSeq lists it as uncharacterized. The record is from RefSeq and is a predicted model, not a curated record. The transcript is spliced from 7 exons. NCBI's taxonomy places the organism in Eukaryota, Metazoa, Chordata, Mammalia, Carnivora, Mustelidae.
UCCCAGCUGCGCCAGAGAGGGCGCGGUCUGGAGCGCCUCGCCAACGUCCCGCAGCCGCCGCCCGCAGCCUGGCCUCGCUCGGGCUCUCGCGAGAGGAAGUAUAAUCUCGGCGGGGUUGGAGAGAGCGGCCUGGCUGGAGCCUGGGGAGAUGUCUCGGAACCCCAAAGGUCUACCGGGCGAGCGCAGCGUGGGGUCUCCUGCCUCAGCUCUGGGCGGUUUCCCGGCGUCAGUUAGACCAUCUGCCUGCCGCGUCGCGGACAGCCCCCUGGAAAAGGCGGAGUGGCCUGGCCGGGGAGGGGCAGGACCCCGUUGCUUCCCCGGAACUGUCAGUACUUCGUAAUGCAUAAUCAGGAAACUGAAGCUGCUAUGGAAAGAAUGGAUUAGAAGAAGAAGCAGGGAGACCAGAAGAGAGACUGCUACAAUGAGCCAGAUGAGAAAUUGUGCUGGCCUGAGCUAAGAGUCAUGGCAGUGGGUAUGCAGAGAUGGCUUUGGACACAAGGUAUAUUUUGGAAGAAGUACCAACAAGACUACUUCACUCAUGUUGAGGUCUUGUGUAAGGUGUUGUGGCUACCAAGGCGGAGGCCCCGCAUCUGGUAGAGAAGGCAGACAUGAACAUGGUGAAGGCCAUGUGCAGUGGGGUCAGUGCUGUGACAGAGCUGAGCCUUCGGAUGAGACCGUGACCCCAGCUACAAGUUGACUGCAACCUUACAGAAGACCUUCAGCCAGAAGCUUCCAGCUAAGCCAUGCCUGGAUUCCUGACCCUCAGAAACUGUGGGCGGCACCUGACUGGAGUGGUGCAGAGGUGUGCAGACUGGUGGGAGGACCGCUGGCUCGGGCUCACACGCUGCCGUGUGCCAAGUCACAGAUUGCACGGCCGCUCUCCGCUUGCUCCAGAGUGGACCGCACGGUUGUGCACACACUGGAUGCUUCAGUCUGUGGUCCUGCUAAAGAUCAAACAGGAACAGCUCUCCAGGUGAUACAAAGAAGGCGCGCCUGGCAGGAGGGUAUCCUGAGAGAUGCGUGGAGGAGGAGGCUCCAUGCUCCAACGUGAUGCUGACAAUUUAGUUCAGUGCAGCUCAGAUACAUCUAGUGUUCUUUGUAUCCAGGGACUUG